RNAcentral lists this transfer RNA (70 nucleotides) under Camelus ferus (Wild Bactrian camel). It matches the Rfam family "tRNA". From Rfam's summary of the family: Transfer RNA (tRNA) molecules are approximately 80 nucleotides in length. Their secondary structure includes four short double-helical elements and three loops (D, anti-codon, and T loops). The record is from Rfam by way of RNAcentral. Lineage: Eukaryota; Metazoa; Chordata; Mammalia; Artiodactyla; Camelidae.
GGAUAUAGGUCAGUGGUGGAGCACGUGCUUAGCAUGCACGAGGUCCUGGGUUCAAUCCCCAGUACCUCCA